AUUGACCGCUGUCGGCAGGCCUAACACAUGCAAGUCGAACGAGUGGCGGACGGGUGAGUAAUGUCUGGGAAACUGCCCGAUGGAGGGGGAUAACUACUGGAAACGGUAGCUAAUACCGCAUACCAUCGGAUGUGCCCAGAUGGGAUUAGCUUGUUGGUGGGGUAACGGCUCACCUAGGCGACGCUCCCUAGCUGGUCUGAGAGGAUGACCAGCCACACUGGAACUGAGACACGGUCCAGACGCCUACGGGAGGCAGCAGUGGGGAAUAUUGCACAAUGGGCGCAAGCCUGAUGCAGCCAUGCCGCGUGUAUGAAGAAGGCCUUCGGGUUGUAAAGUACUUUCAGCGGGGAGGCGUUACCCGCAGAAGAAGCACCGGCUAACUCCGUGCCAGCAGCCGCGGUAAUAC
RNAcentral lists this ribosomal RNA (406 nucleotides) under uncultured bacterium. RNAcentral's name for it is "partial 16S ribosomal RNA". It matches the Rfam family "Bacterial small subunit ribosomal RNA", at positions 30 to 526 of the family's 1533-position model. The record is from RNAcentral.